This 505-nucleotide ribosomal RNA is filed under the name uncultured bacterium. RNAcentral describes it as "partial 16S ribosomal RNA". It matches the Rfam family "Bacterial small subunit ribosomal RNA", at positions 28 to 507 of the family's 1533-position model. The record is from RNAcentral.
GACGAACGCUGGCGGCGUGCCUAAUACAUGCAAGUCGAACGCAAGCAAACACACUGUUCUUGCACACCUUGUUUUCGUGAUUCGCGAACGGGUUAGUUACGCGUAGGUUACCUGCCUGUUAGCGACGGAUAACAAUUGGAAACGAUAGCUAAUACCGCAUAAUAUUAAUUAUGGCAUGAUAAUUUAUUUCAAGAUGUAAGCUCAUCACUAGUAGAUGUACCUGCGAUGUAUUAGCUAGUUGGUAAGGUAAGAGCUUACCAAGGGGACGAUACAUAGCCGACCUGAGAGGGUGAAAGGCCACACUGGGACUGUGACACGGCCCAGAAUCCUACGGGAGGGAGCAGUAGGGGAGUUUCGGCAAUGGACGAAAGUCUGACUGAGGAACGCCGGGUGAGUGAAGAAGGUUUUCGGAUCGUAAAGGUCAGUUGUACGUCAAGGACGUGUGUGAGAUUGGAAAGUUCACACAGUGACGGUAGCUUAAGAAGAAGCGACGGCUAACUACGUG